This 228-nucleotide ribosomal RNA is filed under the name Staphylococcus aureus. RNAcentral's name for it is "partial 16S ribosomal RNA". It matches the Rfam family "Bacterial small subunit ribosomal RNA", at positions 1280 to 1506 of the family's 1533-position model. The record is from RNAcentral. Lineage: Bacteria; Bacillati; Bacillota; Bacilli; Caryophanales; Staphylococcaceae.
AGUUGUUCUCAGUUCGGAUUGUAGUCUGCAACUCGACUACAUGAAGCUUGAAUCGCUAGUAAUCGUAGAUCAGCAUGCUACGGUGAAUACGUUCCCGGGUCUUGUACACACCGCCCGUCACACCACGAGAGUUUGUAACACCCGAAGCCGGUGGAGUAACCUUUUAGGAGCUAGCCGUCGAAGGUGGGACAAAUGAUUGGGGUGAAGUCGUAACAAGGUAGCCGUAUC